UGCGUAGGGAGCAAGCGUUGUCCGGAAUCAUUGGGCGUAAAGCGCGCGUAGGUGGCUUCGUAAGUCCGUUGUGAAAGUCAAAGGCUCAACCUUUGAAAGCCGAUGGAUACUGUGAAGCUAGAGUACGGAAGAGGCGAGUGGAAUUCCUGGUGUAGCGGUGGAAUGCGCAGAUAUCAGGAGGAACACCAAUAGCGAAGGCAGCUCGCUGGGACGUUACUGACACUGAGGCGCGAAAGCGUGGGGAGCGAACAGG
This 253-nucleotide ribosomal RNA is filed under the name uncultured bacterium. RNAcentral's name for it is "partial 16S ribosomal RNA". It matches the Rfam family "Bacterial small subunit ribosomal RNA", at positions 524 to 776 of the family's 1533-position model. The record is from RNAcentral.